CCUGGCUUAGGAUGAACGCUAGCUACAGGCUUAACACAUGCAAGUCGAGGGGCAGCAUGUUGGUUGCUGCAACCAAUGAUGGCGACCGGCGCACGGGUGAGUAACGCGUAUCCAACCUUCCCCUUAGUAGAGGAUAGCCCGGCGAAAGUCGGAUUAAUACUCUAUGUUCUUCAAUGCGGACAUCUAAGUUGAAGCAAAGAUUUAUCGCUAAGGGAUGGGGAUGCGUCUGAUUAGGUUGCAGGCGGGGUAACGGCCCACCUGGCCUACGAUCAGUAGGGGUUCUGAGAGGAAGGUCCCCCACACUGGUACUGAGACACGGACCAGACUCCUACGGGAGGCAGCAGUGAGGAAUAUUGGUCAAUGGGCGCGAGCCUGAACCAGCCAAGUAGCGUGCAAGGACGACUGCCCUAUGGGUUGUAAACUGCUUUUAUCAGGGAAUAAAGUGAGGCACGCGUGCCUUUUUGUAUGUACCUGAUGAAUAAGGACCGGCUAAUUCCGUGCCAGCCGCUGC
This 511-nucleotide ribosomal RNA is filed under the name uncultured bacterium. Its description in RNAcentral is "bacterial SSU rRNA". It matches the Rfam family "Bacterial small subunit ribosomal RNA", at positions 18 to 518 of the family's 1533-position model. The record is from RNAcentral.